This 489-nucleotide ribosomal RNA is filed under the name uncultured bacterium. RNAcentral's name for it is "partial 16S ribosomal RNA". It matches the Rfam family "Bacterial small subunit ribosomal RNA", at positions 30 to 506 of the family's 1533-position model. The record is from RNAcentral.
AUUGAACGCUGGCGGCAGGCCUAACACAUGCAAGUCGAACGGUAACAGGAAGAAGCUUGCUUCUUUGCUGACGAGUGGCGGACGGGUGAGUAAUGUCUGGGAAACUGCCUGAUGGAGGGGGAUAACUACUGGAAACGGUAGCUAAUACCGCAUAACGUCGCAAGACCAAAAAGGGGGACCUUCGGGCCUCUUGCCAUCGGAUGUGCCCAGAUGGGAUUAGCUAGUAGGUGGGGUAACGGCUCACCUAGGCGACGAUCCCUAGCUGGUCUGAGAGGAUGACCAGCCACACUGGAACUGAGACACGGUCCAGACUCCUACGGGAGGCAGCAGUGGGGAAUAUUGCACAAUGGGCGCAAGCCUGAUGCAGCCAUGCCGCGUGUAUGAAGAAGGCCUGCGGGUUGUAAAGUACUUUCAGCGGGGAGGAAGGGAGUAAAGUUAAUACCUUUGCUCAUUGACGUUACCCGCAGAAGAAGCACCGGCUAACUCCGU